This 101-nucleotide small nuclear RNA is filed under the name Procavia capensis (Cape rock hyrax). Lineage: Eukaryota; Metazoa; Chordata; Mammalia; Hyracoidea; Procaviidae. The record is from RNAcentral.
GUGUUCACUUCAGCACAUACACUAAAAUUGGAAUGCUGUAGACAUUACCACGGCCCCUGAGCAGGGGUGUCAUGCAAAUUCAUGAAAUGUUCUGUAGUUUU